UACAGAGGUCACAAGCGUUAUCCGGAUUUAUUGGGCGUAAAGCGUUUCGUAGGUUACUUGUUAAGUUGCUCUUCAAAGACCACGGCUCAACCGGGGGAAGGGGAGUAAGACUGGCAGGAUUUGAAUAGUAGUGGGGCAUCUGGAACUGAUGGUGUAGUAGUGAAAUACGUUGAUAUCAUCAGGAACUCCAAGGGCGAAGGCAGGAUGCUAACUAUUUAUUGACACUGAGGAACGACAGCUAGGGG
This 245-nucleotide ribosomal RNA is filed under the name uncultured bacterium. Its description in RNAcentral is "partial 16S ribosomal RNA". It matches the Rfam family "Bacterial small subunit ribosomal RNA", at positions 524 to 766 of the family's 1533-position model. The record is from RNAcentral.